This 337-nucleotide unclassified non-coding RNA is filed under the name soil metagenome. RNAcentral's name for it is "partial contains 5.8S ribosomal RNA, internal transcribed spacer 2, and large subunit ribosomal RNA". The stretch from base 1 to 120 matches the Rfam family "5.8S ribosomal RNA", at positions 35 to 154 of the family's 154-position model. The record is from RNAcentral.
GAUGAAGAACGUAGCGAAAUGCGAUAAGUAGUGUGAAUUGCAGAAUUCAGUGAAUCAUCGAAUCUUUGAACGCACAUUGCGCCCCUUGGUAUUCCAUGGGGCAUGCCUGUUCGAGCGUCAUUUGUACCCUCAAGCUCUGCUUGGUGUUGGGUGUUUGUCCACUCCCUGGUGUCUGGACUCGCCUUAAAGCAAUUGGCAGCCAGUGUUUUGGUAUUGAAGCGCAGCACAUUUUGCGUCUCCAGCCUAGAACGCUUGCGUCCAGUAAGCCUUUUUCCACUUUUGACCUCGGAUCAGGUAGGGAUACCCGCUGAACUUAAGCAUAUAAAUAAGCGGAGGA